GGGAUUCCGAGUUCUCUGUGGUCACGGCCACUGGCUGCUCACUGUCUUGAAAACACCAAGAGGCACUGGCAACAAGGAGGCCACGAUGAUCAAGAGACAGUGUGGACCAGACACCCCUGCCACAUCAGAGUAUGCGCUUUCUUCAUGACAUGUACGACUAUCUAAAUUCCAAGCUCAUCUCUUGUCAUCUCUAGUGGAAUUGAGUGCAUGAGACACCUCUGCACGGCUGUAGCUGAGGCCUCGGAUGAGUGCACUGUAACCUACCUCCUGGUCAAGGCUUACUUCCCACCAUUUGGUGUCCACAAUGUUGGCUGGUGCUCACUGUUCACCGAAGUUUGAAGGGAUGAGCCAACAAAGUCUGAACAGACGACAGCGAUGUAAACGUCUGGAGGAAAAGAUGUCAUGGACUUGGAAGUAGCCUUGCUUGGCUCUCCCUUUGGGGGCACUGACAUCUGCCCCGCAGACUCUCUGGAAAUGUUCCAGUCCCAUGGGUGUGUUCUGACUCUACACCAUUGGCAAAGCAGUCCCGCAGCUCAGCAGACAGUGGAGCUCUGGAAGACUGAGGCAGCCAGCCACCUCCGCCAGAGCAGCGAGUGAGUUUUUCCCAUAGUCAGAACCCCAUUCUCUUUUGUGGUGGAGACAGCAUCCAUGACAGCAAUCCUUUCCUCCCUCUAGGGAAGUGAUAGGCUCUAUGUGUAUGUACAUCAGAGUUGCCUAGACACUGUUCUUCUUUCCAAUGCCCCUAUGAACUGGUUCCAGCAUCUUCUUGGUUCCCUUACUGAUUAGUGAAUGAAAUCAAAUCUUAGGUGGAUUUAUUGUAUAUUUGCAUGAGAAUCCUGAUUUGACCUCUAAAAAAAUCAUUCCGUGUCUGUAAGAAUUUGCAUUCACAGCAUGUGGUAUAGAAGUGUAAAAAGAAAAGACAAAAAAAAAAAAUUAAACAUGAGCCCAGCUGCUAAACAAAAGAAACAGCCUUCCGAAUGGACAAGGGGAGAAGCAAAAGUCAGCACUACACGGGUUCACUCCCAGCAGGUCCCUCCUGGCUCAGACUCUGGUCUAGGCUGCUUUGGGGACUGGAGGAGACUCUAUGGGAUUGGCUGUGACUAGGACGGGGUGAUGGGGGCUGAGGUCUGGGUGUUGUCAGACUGAGUAUUGAGCAGAGUAGGUGAUGACUUGAGUAGCUGGAAGUGUCCCUGGGUGCCAUUAUCUACACCUUCCUUUAGGCCUGUGUCAUCAAGUGAGAUCACCAGGUAACCCUUAGUCUAGAGUAUCUGUCACUCAGAACUCCAAGAAGCCCUCAUGACAGAG
Molecule: long non-coding RNA, 1305 nt
Organism: Peromyscus eremicus (cactus mouse)
Lineage: Eukaryota; Metazoa; Chordata; Mammalia; Rodentia; Cricetidae
Exons: 4
Source: RefSeq, a predicted model, not a curated record